GGGAAAAGCAAAAAAAGAGAAUGAAUGAAGAAUCCAAUUUCUAAUUCAUUUCUGGUUCUAGUCAGAGUCCAUUGUAAAAUCCAGAGACGCCAUUAUUCCACCACAACCAACACUAACCUCAAAUCCUGGUUCAACAAAUACUUUGACAAGACCAAUGUCUUCUCGUGGAACUCGCUCAUCGCCGACUUGGCUCGAGCCGGCGAUUCAUUCGAGUCUCUUCGUGCUUUCUCCUCAAUGCGAAAGCUCGAUCUCAAACCCAGCCGCUCCACUUUCCCUUGCGCAAUUAAAGCAUGCUCAGCUCUGUUCGAUCUUCACUCCGGCAAGCAAGCUCAUCAACAAGCUCUUGUUUUUGGUUUUGAAUCAGACCUCUUUGUAUCAUCAGCGUUGAUUGAUAUGUACGCGAAAUGUGGGCGAUUAAGCGAUGCUAGAGUCCUGUUCGAUGAAAUUUCUCAAAGAAGUAUUGUCACAUGGACUGCGAUGAUUACUGGUUAUGUCCAAAAUGACAAUGCCUACGAAGCGUUAUCGCUUUUUAAAGAGUUCUUGAUUGAAGAGAGUGAGAGAAAUGGUGAGGGCACCGAUGUUUUUAUGGAUUCAGUUGCUAUGGUGGCUGUUUUAUCUGCUUGUUCUCGUGUUUCUGAGAAAGGAGUGAUUGAGGGAGUUCAUGGGUUUGUGGUAAAGAUGGGAUUGGAUAAAGAUUUGGGAGCUGAGAAUACUUUGUUGGAUGCAUAUGCAAAGUGUGGUGAAGUGGGCUUGUCUAGGAAGGUGUUUGAGGGGAUAGCUGAGAGGGAUUCAGUUUCCUGGAAUUCUAUGAUUGCUGUGUAUGCCCAAAAUGGGUUAUCCAGUGAGGCUUUUCUUGCUUUUCACGUGAUGAUAAAUGAUGGUGAUGUCAAAUACAAUGCAGUGACAUUGUCUACUUUGUUGUUAGCAUGUGCAAAUUCAGGGGCUCUGCGUGAGGGGAAGUGUAUACAUGAUCAGGUAAUAAGGAUGGGUUGGGAGGAUAAUGUGAUUUUGGGUACCUCUAUCAUAGAUAUGUAUUGUAAGUGUGGACGAGUCGAAAUGGCAAGGAAAGCAUUUGAUGGCAUGAAGGAGAAGAAUGUGAAGUCAUGGACUGCCAUGGUUACAGGCUAUGGAAUGCAUGGCUGUGCAAGAGAAGCUUUGGAUGUUUUCUACAAGAUGAUAGGAGCUGGGGUCAAACCAAAUUACGUAACUUUUGUUUCAGUUCUGUCUGCUUGUAGCCAUGCUGGCCUGUUAGAUGAAGGCUGGUAUUGGUUCAAUGCCAUGAAUCAUAAAUUUAAUGUAGAACCUGGGGUUGAGCACUAUAGUUGCAUAGUUGAUCUUCUUGGCCGUGCCGGUUAUCUCAAUGAAGCGUAUGAUUUGAUAAAGAGGAUGAGGACCAAGCCUGAUUAUGUACUCUGGGGCUCUCUUCUUGCAGCUUGUCGUAUUUACAAAAAUGUGGAGCUUGCAGAGAUUUCUGCAAGACAACUGUUUGAGCUGGACUCAAGUAACUGUGGAUAUUACAUCUUACUUUCGAACAUAUAUGCUGAUGCUGGAAGAUGGAAAGAAGUCGAAAGAAUUAGAGUACAUGUGAAAGAUCGUGGACUUGUUAAACCACCUGGAUUCAGUUUGGUUGAACUAAAGGGUAAGGUGCAUUUAUUCUUGGUUGGAGAUAAAGAGCAUCCUGAAUGUGAGAAGAUAUACAGGUUUUUGGAGGAACUUAAUGUGAAGUUGCAACAAGCUGGCUAUGCACCUAGUAUGGCAUCAGUUCUUCAUGAUGUUGAUGAGGAAGAGAAGGAAAUGGCCCUGCGAGUUCACAGUGAGAAGUUGGCUGUUGCCUUUGGGGUCAUGAAUUCAUUUCCUGGUUCAACAAUUCAUAUUAUUAAAAAUCUUAGGGUUUGUCAUGACUGUCAUACAGUCAUUAAGCUUAUUUCCAAGAUUGUUGAUCGAGAAAUUGUGGUAAGAGACGUAAAGCGAUUUCAUCACUUCAAGGAUGGUUUGUGUACAUGUGGAGACUAUUGGUGAGAUAUAUAUACAUGAAAAUAAUUAAGGUUACAGCAAUUUUAAGUGAAGGGUUAUUUUUGGCUGGAUCAACAAGCUUGUAACUAGAAAUUAGGAGAAUCAUUGUUCUGAUGGUGCUGUGUGCAACCUUCUGAUAUGAAAAAUUAUGCUGGUAGAAUACAGGAAUUUCCUAUGAUGAUUAAACUUCAAGUUUGAAACACAAGCACUUCUAAUUGCUUAAUCAAAAAGAUCUGAAAGAAGAUCUGUCAUCUCCUAAUUGUUAAUUCUAGAAAGAUCAACUCAAUGGGAUAGAUGUCAUAUAUUUGCUUCCAAGUUUAAUAGAGGUUGAAUGCCUUUUCUGAUGGAAUGAUUAUUGAAAUUGCUGAAGAUGGUUUCUAACUAUAGACACAGUUCUGGUGUGGAAAUCAUAGCACAAGUAUGCGGUCUGUUGACAACAUACUGGUAACCCUGUUGACCUGAGCACAUCACAAGUUAUAAAGAGGAUGGCAACUACUCAGUAAAAUUAAUUCGCAUAACUCGGAAGACAUCUUUACUGCUAUAAUGUUGGAGAUUGGAGUCAUAUCAACCACAGUAUUUGCUAGAGUUGAAAAGGCAACAACUGAAAACUUCCUGUCACGAUCAACCUUGUCAAAAGAACUUGCUUGAAAAUAUUCUUUUCAAUUUUGACGUCUGAAAUUGGUUUGGUUUCUCUCCAACUUUUAAGCAGUUGAUACAAUUUUGCAGGGCCCUGUUCUCACCCUUCAGAUGUUCCAGUUCUGACUGGAGUCUAUUAAUUACCACUCUCUUUUGGAUGUUUCUCCUUGCCAACUCGACCUGCUGCUUCAGAUUUUCCUCCAUGAGUUUUGUAACUUGAAACUUGAGUUCAGACCAUCUAUUGGCCUGCUCAUAACUAUUUUCUGAGAGAUCUCUAACCGUAGCCUGAUUCUGAACUGAGUUUGAAUCAUCUAUCUUCACAUUGACACCAUUUUGGUCGCACAAAUCUCUGGCGCCUUCAUUACAAUGGUUUUCUCUGCUAUCAAGUUUCAUUUUCAUUUCCAUGCUCUGUGCGUGUGGCUCAGUCGACAUCAGUUUUUCCACUAGCUUGUUCAGGUAUUCAAAGUUGAAGUCCGUAUUGUCACAAUCAGCAUCAGGGUCUUCAAGAAUGGAAUCCAGAUAGGAAUCAAAAAGCUUCAAUUCGGAAUUGGUGGAACUUGGUAUAAGUCUUGUCUUCUCAUUCGUGUCAGAACAUGCAGAAGGAAUGGAUCCUGGAUUAUUUUCAUGGCAUGAUUCAGACCUCAACUUAUCAUAUUUUUCAGCCAAAGAACGAUAAGAAUUAUUGAACCCUUCAAGCAUUUGAAACAGCUUCACCCUCCGCUUGCAAUGGAUCUCAUCUCUAGUAGAAGUAUUGUCAUCUUCUUCCAGAAGGGUCAUCAUGGCUUUAAUUCUCUUGUUUGAAUCUGCAUAUCAAGGAAAAGUACAAAGAGAAAGAACCGUAACUCCAGCAUUCUCGAGCAGUAACCAGAAGAAGAGUAAUCAUGAUAAAGCCAGCCAUAUUUCUGUGUCUCCUAAAAAAAUAAAGAACUUUCCUGCUAAAUUCUGUAGCUAUAAACUAUUUUAUGCUUAUGUUCUGCUGAGCUGAAUGAAACACAGAAACAGAGGAGGGAAGACUGACCUGAUAGAGUUAAUUGAAGCCAUUGGGAUUGCUGGGGACAAUCAUGGUUAUCUGGAGUUGAAGAACAAGAAGCUCCAUUGAAGCUCCAUUGUUUUCCAUUGAACAAUUCUUUUGUGAGACGAGAAUCUCUCUUGGCUUUCAAAACAGACAAAGCGAAACAGAGGAUGCACGUUAAGAAUUUUGGAAGCUCUAAAUAUAGGAGAGGAGAGAACAAAAAGUUGCCGCAUGUGUAGAGAUGAUCGAUUCUUCCUAUUUGAUCGCAUCUUUCUUACCCCCUUAUGAAUCAUCUUUUUAUCAAGGAAAUGCUAUUUA
Molecule: unclassified non-coding RNA, 3979 nt
Filed under: Hevea brasiliensis (rubber tree)
Lineage: Eukaryota; Viridiplantae; Streptophyta; Magnoliopsida; Malpighiales; Euphorbiaceae
Source: RNAcentral